RNAcentral lists this transfer RNA (88 nucleotides) under Gammaproteobacteria bacterium. RNAcentral's name for it is "tRNA-Leu". It matches the Rfam family "tRNA". Rfam says of the family: Transfer RNA (tRNA) molecules are approximately 80 nucleotides in length. Lineage: Bacteria; Pseudomonadati; Pseudomonadota; Gammaproteobacteria. The record is from RNAcentral.
GCCCGGGUGGCGGAACUGGUAGACGCGCGGGACUCAAAAUCCCGUUCCCCUCAAAGGAGUGUCGGUUCGAUUCCGACUCCGGGCACCA